RNAcentral lists this ribosomal RNA (497 nucleotides) under uncultured bacterium. RNAcentral describes it as "partial 16S ribosomal RNA". It matches the Rfam family "Bacterial small subunit ribosomal RNA", at positions 28 to 507 of the family's 1533-position model. The record is from RNAcentral.
GAUGAACGCUGGCGGCGUGCCUAAUACAUGCAAGUCGAGCGAACAGACGAGGAUCUUGCUCCUCUUACGUUAGCGGCGGACGGGUGAGUAACACGUGGAUAACCUACCUAUAAGACUGGGAUAACUUCGGGAAACCGGAUCUAAUACCGGAUAAUAUAUUGAACCGCAUGGUUCAUUAGUGAAAGACGGUUUUGCUGUCACUUAUAGAUGGAUCCGCGGCGCAUUAGCUAGUUGGUAAGGUAACGGCUUACCAAGGCGACGAUGCGUAGCCGAACUGAGAGGGGGGAUCGGCCACACGGAAACGAGGAAACGGCCCAGCUCCGUAGGGAGGGCAGAGGUGGGAAAAUUGCAGAAUUGGGGGAAGGCUGAACGAGGCAAGGCGGGGGGGGGAAUGAGGGUUUCGGAUUGGAAAACCCCUGUAAUUGGGAAGAAGCAAAGGUGGAUGAAACUUUGCUGUUUUGGAGGUUCCCAAAGAAGAAGGCCCGGCUAAACUCGUU